Homo sapiens (human) is the source of this 1598-nucleotide long non-coding RNA. Ensembl annotates it as long intergenic non-protein coding RNA 1473. The record is from Ensembl. NCBI's taxonomy places the organism in Eukaryota, Metazoa, Chordata, Mammalia, Primates, Hominidae.
ACCAUAGAGUGAUGUGCCUUUGAGCAACAACAAGUAUUGAAUUAUAAUCUAUGUAGAUAUAUGCUAAGAAGAAUAAAUACAGAGUACUAUGACAGCAUAAUUUAAUUAAUUAUUAAGGUAUCAUUGAGGAAACAAAAUAUGAGACUUGAAUAGGAAUUAUCCAAUUAUUCAAGAAAGGUUGGGGUGGGCAGAACAUAUUUUUGGUGUCUUUGGUAGGAGCAGUUUUGAUAUAAUGGCAAAGGUAGAAGCCAGAUGGAGAGUCAGUUCAGAUUCAACAUGGGCUUAGGAGAUAAAGUAGCAUAUAUAAAGAUUCUUCCCAAUAAAUUUGACUUGAAAUGAAAAAGAAAAUAUUAUAGCAUAUGGAAAGUAAUUUGGGAUUCAAGGAGAGAUUUAUUUUUCUUUAAUAUGGGAGAUGCCAGAGAAUGUUUGAAUACUCACGUACAACAAUGUGUAGAAAGGGAAGAUAUAGUCAAUGGAUGUGACUAAAAAAUGAGUAAGAUAGGAUCCCAAAUACAAUAAGAGUGCUAGGAUUAUAGAAGAAGGGAAACCAAACUCUGACAUCCAUUAUAACAAGAGUGAAUAAAGAGAGUAUUGGUGACUGUUCAGGUUAAGUUUACAGUUUGGUGAUGAGAUGAGUUGAGUUCUUAUCUGAUGGCUUCAAGAUUUUACAAAAUAGUAAUUGAGGUCAUCAGCUAAAAAGUGUGAUGAAAAGAUGAAGGGAGUGAGAGGUUUGAUUAGUGUGGAAAAUGCAUUAAAAAGUCAUUGAUAUAAAUAUUUUAGCACCAUAUGAAAAUAGAGUAAGAUUGAUGGACAUUGUUGACUACUCAAUUAAUACUGUUAGGAAUAUAUAAUGCCAAUCUAUGUGAUUUUAUCUAACAACCCUCAAUUGGCAGGAUGUAAGCUCAAAGGAAAUUAGUAGGGUCUUGACCAACAUGCGAGAAGGGAUGGAGAGAGGGACAUAGAAAUUAAAGACAUUGAUAACAAAAUGAUUUUAAUGAUUGUCUCUGGAACUUAAGCAGGAAAAGAAGAAAGCUGAAAACACACUGAGGAUUAUGGGAGAGGGGCAAGUGCAUGAAGCUUCUCAAUGACAUACAGACACUCUAAAAGCUCAAGAGAUCAAUUAUUCAACUUCAAGAACUGAAAUUUGAACACAGAUUUUGAGCUUCCAAAUCAGGAGAAAAAGAAGUGUUCUAUAAGAAGUUUGGACAAGACUCUGCAAGAAGUUAAGAGCAGGUCCUUAAAGGCAACUGUGAAUUAACGGAGACUAGUUUUGAGAAAAUCAGUCCUGAUUUGUUUCUCCUGGAGUUUUCUUCUUUAUGUGAUCCUUCAUAAAAGCUGCUAAUAUGGGAAAGAUUGAAAUCAGCAAGUUUCUGGCUGUAAGCUAAAAGAGGCUCUUGAAUCAUAUUUCCGCCUGCUUAGCAAAUUUCUCUUGCGACAAUUGGAUGUUAUUUGGGGUUCCAUACUAGCAGGAAGAAGUACAAGCAAAGCUAAGUCAUUUUGAGAAUAAAUAUUAUCUCUCUAUAUAUUUGUAAAUGUUAUUUUCUUUUUUUUUGAGGUUUAUGAUUGAUCCUUGGCAUGUGUCCCCUUGUGUAUUGCUC